CUGUUACCUGGAUUAUUUUACAUCUUCCUGCUAAAUUCUUAUUUUGAGCGAAUUUGAGUUGUUGGGUGUCAACCGAGAACAGAAAAAUGGAAUAUGGUCACAGAGGAAGACAUAGACGGGAGCUGUUUGAUCACCCCAGUCUAAAAAUGGGGAAAACAGACGAGACGUGUGAAAGUUGUAAAACUUGCCGGAAUGUAAUUAUGCCCAUUAAAAGUUUCACCAGCGGGUAACGGACAUAUCGCAAUCUGCUGAAGCAAAUGACCACAGCAGUGCAUCACCUGUGAGAUCAUGAGAAGGCUGAAGAACCAGGAGUGACAAGAUAUCACCAGAUGGUGGGGUACAGAAUUAAACCCAGGGACAGAUUUUUUUUAGAUCAAGCAUUGUAACAAGGUUUACGGGGAAGAACAGACACCCAACAGAGAGACAAGUCCAUCACUACAGGUGAAUGGCCUGCAGGUAGGAGUCCUGUAGCCAGCUGGUGUGGGUUUCGAUGCUGUGAUAUCAACUUUAUUUCAUAUUUAAAACAAUUCAAACAGCAGUGGAACAACCAUGGUUUGAGAACUGAGAGGCACCGGUCCCCUAUGCAGAUGUUUGUCCGCGGUUCCCUGGCACAGCAGAGGCGACUAACAACUGCAAUGCAGAACAUAUUUGGACCAAGACACUCAGACUUUUUAUUCUAUCACCGCAACACGCACAUCAUGGUGAUUUUGCUUACUAUCAAUGCCUCAAAAAAUUUUCACACAUUACACACUGUGAUACACAUCCAUUUCACAUUAUAUGUACUUUUCAUACUAAGCAUUCAGUCAGUACACUGGCCUUGAUCAACAUUGUUCAACAAAAGAACAGUCAAGGAAUUGCACAUUGCAACUCUUGCUCUGUCUAAACUGAAAUAUAUUUAUAUAUAUAUAUAUAUUUUUUUCUUUUUCUUUUUUUUUUCUCCCCAAUUUGGAAUGCCCAAUU
Myxocyprinus asiaticus (Chinese sucker) is the source of this 960-nucleotide long non-coding RNA. RefSeq lists it as uncharacterized. Lineage: Eukaryota; Metazoa; Chordata; Actinopteri; Cypriniformes; Catostomidae. The transcript is spliced from 6 exons. The record is from RefSeq and is a predicted model, not a curated record.